This 406-nucleotide ribosomal RNA is filed under the name uncultured bacterium. RNAcentral's name for it is "partial 16S ribosomal RNA". It matches the Rfam family "Bacterial small subunit ribosomal RNA", at positions 30 to 526 of the family's 1533-position model. The record is from RNAcentral.
AUUGAACUCUGGCGGCAGGCCUAACACAUGCAAGUCGAACGAGUGGCGGACGGGUGAGUAAUGUCUGGGAAACUGCCCGAUGGCGGGGGAUAACUAAUGGAAACGGUAGCUAAUACCGCCUACCAUCGGAUGUGCCCAGAUGGGAUUAGGUAGUAGGUGGGGUAACGGCUAACCUAGGCGACGAUCCCUAGCUGGUCUGAGAGGAUGACCAGCAACACUUGAACGUAGAGAAGGUCCAGACUCUUCCGGGAGGCAGAAGGGGGGAAUAUUGCACAAGGGGCGAAAGCCUGAUGCAGCCAUGCAGCGUGUAUGAAGAAGGCCUUCGGGUUGUAAAGUACUUUCAGUGAGGAGGCGUUACCCGCAGAAGAAGCACCGGCUAACUCCGUGCCAGCAGCCGCGGUAAUAC